Molecule: ribosomal RNA, 585 nt
Filed under: uncultured bacterium
Lineage: Bacteria
Description: bacterial SSU rRNA
Rfam family: Bacterial small subunit ribosomal RNA
Source: RNAcentral
CUACGGGAGGCAGCAGUCGGGAAUUUUGGGCAAUGGGCGAAAGCCUGACCCAGCAACGCCGCGUGAAGGAUGAAAUCCCUCGGGAUGUAAACUUCGCAAGAACGGGAAGAAUUAGUGGAAGUUAAUACCUUCCAUGAUGACGGUACCGUUUGUAAGCUCCGGCUAACUCCGUGCCAGCAGCCGCGGUAAUACGGGGGGAGCAAGCGUUGUUCGGAUUUACUGGGCGUAAAGGGCGCGUAGGCGGCGUCCGCAAGUCAGUUGUGAAAUCUCCGAGCUUAACUCGGAAAGGUCAACUGAUACUGCGGGGCUAGAGUGCGGAAGGGGCAACUGGAAUUCUUGGUGUAGCGGUGAAAUGCGUAGAUAUCAAGAGGAACACCUGCGGCGAAGGCGGGUUGCUGGGCCGACACUGACGCUGAGGCGCGAAAGCUAGGGGAGCGAACGGGAUUAGAUACCCCGGUAGUCCUAGCCUUAAACGAUGAAUGCUUGGUGUCUGGGGUUAUGUAGUCCCCGGGUGCCGUCGCUAACGCUUUAAGCAUUCCGCCUGGGGAGUACGGUCGCAAGACUGAAACUUAAAGGAAUUGACGG